This 256-nucleotide ribosomal RNA is filed under the name uncultured Glomus. RNAcentral describes it as "partial 18S ribosomal RNA". It matches the Rfam family "Eukaryotic small subunit ribosomal RNA", at positions 624 to 886 of the family's 1831-position model. The record is from RNAcentral. Lineage: Eukaryota; Fungi; Glomeromycota; Glomeromycetes; Glomerales; Glomeraceae.
AAGCUCGUAGUUGAAUUUCGGGGUUAGUAGGUUGGUCAUGCCUCUGGUAUGUACUGGUCUCACUGAUUCCUCCUUCCUUAUGAACCGUAAUGCCAUUAAUUUGGUGUUGCGGGGAAUUUGGACUGUUACUUUGAAAAAAUUGAGUGUUUAAAGCAGGCUAACGCUUGAAUACAUUAGCAUGGAAUAAUGAAAUAGGACGUUCGAUCUUAUUUGUUGGUUUCUAGGAUUGACGUAAUGAUUAAUAGGGAUAGUUGGG